AUUGAACGCUGGCGGCAUGCUUUACACAUGCAAGUCGAACGGUAACGGGGAGCUUGCUCCGCUGACGAGUGGCGAACGGGUGAGUAAUGCAUCGGAACGUACCCAGUCGUGGGGGAUAACGUAGCGAAAGUUACGCUAAUACCGCAUACGUCCUGAGGGAGAAAGCGGGGGACCGUAAGGCCUCGCGCGAUUGGAGCGGCCGAUGUCGGAUUAGCUAGUUGGUGGGGUAAAGGCCUACCAAGGCGACGAUCCGUAGCGGGUCUGAGAGGAUGAUCCGCCACACUGGGACUGAGACACGGCCCAGACUCCUACGGGAGGCAGCAGUGGGGAAUUUUGGACAAUGGGGGCAACCCUGAUCCAGCCAUGCCGCGUGAGUGAAGAAGGCCUUCGGGUUGUAAAGCUCUUUCAGACGGAAAGAAAACGCAUCGGUGAAUACCCGGUGUGGAUGACGGUACCGUAAGAAGAAGCACCGGCUAACUACGUGCCAGCAGCCGCGGUAAACGUAGCGUG
Molecule: ribosomal RNA, 510 nt
Filed under: uncultured bacterium
Lineage: Bacteria
Description: bacterial SSU rRNA
Rfam family: Bacterial small subunit ribosomal RNA
Source: RNAcentral